GUGUCAGCCGCCGCGGUAAGACAGAGGGUGCAAACGUUGUUCGGAAUUACUGGGCGUAAAGCGCGUGUAGGUGGCCUGGCAAGUCGGAUGUGAAAGCCCUCGGCUCAACCGGGGAAGUGCAUCCGAAACUACCAGGCUCGAGUGUCGGAGAGGGAAGUGGAAUUCCCGGUGUAGAGGUGAAAUUCGUAGAUAUCGGGAGGAACACCAGUGGCGAAGGCGGCUUCCUGGACGAACACUGACACUGAGACGCGACAGCGUGGGGAGCAAACAGGAUUAGAAACCCGUGUAGUCC
Molecule: ribosomal RNA, 292 nt
Filed under: uncultured bacterium
Lineage: Bacteria
Description: partial 16S ribosomal RNA
Rfam family: Bacterial small subunit ribosomal RNA
Source: RNAcentral